RNAcentral lists this ribosomal RNA (534 nucleotides) under uncultured Jeotgalicoccus sp. RNAcentral describes it as "bacterial SSU rRNA". It matches the Rfam family "Bacterial small subunit ribosomal RNA", at positions 83 to 603 of the family's 1533-position model. Lineage: Bacteria; Bacillati; Bacillota; Bacilli; Caryophanales; Staphylococcaceae. The record is from RNAcentral.
CCUGAGAUUCGAGCGGCGGACGGGUGAGUAACACGUAGGCAACCUACCCUUGAGAUUGGGAUAACUACCGGAAACGGUAGCUAAUACCGGAUACGACAUUCCUGCAUAAGUAAGAAUGUUAAAAGGCGGAUUUAUCUGCCGCUCAUGGAUGGGCCUGCGGUGCAUUAGCUAGUUGGUGAGAUAGUAGCUCACCAAGGCGACGAUGCAUAGCCGACCUGAGAGGGUGAUCGGCCACACUGGGACUGAGACACGGCCCAGACUCCUACGGGAGGCAGCAGUAGGGAAUCUUCCGCAAUGGACGCAAGUCUGACGGAGCAACGCCGCGUGAGUGAUGAAGGGUUUCGGCUCGUAAAACUCUGUUGUUAAGGAAGAACACUUGAGGUAGUAACUGGCCUUGAGAUGACGGUACUUAACCAGAAAGCCACGGCUAACUACGUGCCAGCAGCCGCGGUAAUACGUAGGUGGCAAGCGUUAUCCGGAAUUAUUGGGCGUAAAGCGCGCGUAGGCGGUAAAAUAAGUCUGAUGUGAAAGCCC